CAACUCGCCUACAUGAAGUCGGAAUCGCUAGUAAUCGCGGAUCAGCAUGCCGCGGUGAAUACGUUCCCGGGCCUUGUACACACCGCCCGUCACACCAUGAGAGUUUGUAACACCCAAAGCCGGUGGGGUAACCUAUUGGAGCCAGCCGUCUAAGGUGGGACAGAUGAUUGGGGUGAAGUCGUAACAAGGUAGC
Molecule: ribosomal RNA, 193 nt
Filed under: uncultured bacterium
Lineage: Bacteria
Description: partial 16S ribosomal RNA
Rfam family: Bacterial small subunit ribosomal RNA
Source: RNAcentral